RNAcentral lists this ribosomal RNA (433 nucleotides) under uncultured bacterium. Its description in RNAcentral is "partial 16S ribosomal RNA". It matches the Rfam family "Bacterial small subunit ribosomal RNA", at positions 29 to 507 of the family's 1533-position model. The record is from RNAcentral.
AACGAACGCUGGCGGCAUGCCUAACACAUGCAAGUCGAACGAGACCUUCGGGUCUAGUGGCGCACGGGUGCGUAACGCGUGGGAACCUGCCCUUAGGUUCGGAAUAACUCCCCGAAAGGGGUGCUAAUACCGGAUAAUGUCUUCGGACCAAAGAUUUAUCGCCUUUGGAUGGGCCCGCGUUGGAUUAGCUAGUUGGUAGGGUAAAAGCCUACCAAGGCGACGAUCCAUAGCUGGUCUGAGAGGAUGAUCAGCCACACUGGGACUGAGACACGGCCCAGACUCCUACGGGAGGCAGCAGUGGGGGAUAUUGUACCAUGGGCGAAAGCCUGAUCCAGCAAUGCCGCUUGAGUGAUGAAGGCCUUAGGGUUGUAAAGCUCUUUUACCCGGGAUGAUAAUGACAGUACCGGGAGAAUAAGCGCCGGCUAACUCCGUU